RNAcentral lists this ribosomal RNA (1429 nucleotides) under uncultured organism. RNAcentral's name for it is "16S ribosomal RNA". It matches the Rfam family "Bacterial small subunit ribosomal RNA". The record is from RNAcentral.
GCUUAACACAUGCAAGUCGAGGGGCAUCAGGAACAUAGCUUGCUUUCUUUGCUGGCGACCGGCGCACGGGUGAGUAACACGUAUCCAACCUGCCCUUUACUCGGGGAUAGCCUUUCGAAAGAAAGAUUAAUACCCGAUGGCAUAAUGAUUCCGCAUGGUUUCAUUAUUAAAGGAUUCCGGUAAAGGAUGGGGAUGCGUUCCAUUAGGUUGUUGGUGGGGUAACGGCUCACCAAGCCUUCGAUGGAUAGGGGUUCUGAGAGGAAGGUCCCCCACAUUGGAACUGAGACACGGUCCAAACUCCUACGGGAGGCAGCAGUGAGGAAUAUUGGUCAAUGGGCGCUAGCCUGAACCAGCCAAGUAGCGUGAAGGAUGAAGGCUCUAUGGGUCGUAAACUUCUUUUAUAUAAGAAUAAAGUGCAGUAUGUAUACUGUUUUGUAUGUAUUAUAUGAAUAAGGAUCGGCUAACUCCGUGCCAGCAGCCGCGGUAAUACGGAGGAUCCGAGCGUUAUCCGGAUUUAUUGGGUUUAAAGGGAGCGUAGGUGGACUGGUAAGUCAGUUGUGAAAGUUUGCGGCUCAACCGUAAAAUUGCAGUUGAUACUGUCAGUCUUGAGUACAGUAGAGGUGGGCGGAAUUCGUGGUGUAGCGGUGAAAUGCUUAGAUAUCACGAAGAACUCCGAUUGCGAAGGCAGCUCACUGGACUGCAACUGACACUGAUGCUCGAAAGUGUGGGUAUCAAACAGGAUUAGAUACCCUGGUAGUCCACACAGUAAACGAUGAAUACUCGCUGUUUGCGAUAUACAGUAAGCGGCCAAGCGAAAGCAUUAAGUAUUCCACCUGGGGAGUACGCCGGCAACGGUGAAACUCAAAGGAAUUGACGGGGGCCCGCACAAGCGGAGGAACAUGUGGUUUAAUUCGAUGAUACGCGAGGAACCUUACCCGGGCUUAAAUUGCAGUGGAAUGAUGUGGAAACAUGUCAGUGAGCAAUCACCGCUGUGGAGGUGCUGCAUGGUUGUCGUCAGCUCGUGCCGUGAGGUGUCGGCUUAAGUGCCAUAACGAGCGCAACCCUUAUCUUUAGUUACUAACAGGUCAUGCUGAGGACUCUAGAGAGACUGCCGUCGUAAGAUGUGAGGAAGGUGGGGAUGACGUCAAAUCAGCACGGCCCUUACGUCCGGGGCUACACACGUGUUACAAUGGGGGGUACAGAAGGCAGCUAGCGGGUGACCGUAUGCUAAUCCCAAAAUCCUCUCUCAGUUCGGACCGAAGUCUGCAACCCGACUUCGUGAAGCUGGAUUCGCUAGUAAUCGCGCAUCAGCCACGGCGCGGUGAAUACGUUCCCGGGCCUUGUACACACCGCCCGUCAAGCCAUGGGAGCCGGGGGUACCUGAAGUACGUAACCGCAAGGAUCGUCCUAGGGUAAAACUGGUGACUGG